RNAcentral lists this long non-coding RNA (223 nucleotides) under Daucus carota (carrot). Its description in RNAcentral is "long non-coding RNA (DCAR_LNC003472)". The record is from RNAcentral. Lineage: Eukaryota; Viridiplantae; Streptophyta; Magnoliopsida; Apiales; Apiaceae.
UUGCAGGCAAAUUACCAUGAUUGGGCGUAAGAUUCUGAUUGCAAGUAGGAUCUUUAGAGCUGGCUUGAGAGUCCUGAGAAGGAUGGAUAUUUUGAGCAGGAUAGGAGGUCUGGUUCUCGCUCAAUCCCAUAUCAUCCAUUUUAAAGUCAUUUGGUUGGCACUCUUCUCCAUUGACUUCUAAUAUCCUAAUCUUCCAAACAUUUCCCAUCAGAUUAAUAGAAGU